This 439-nucleotide ribosomal RNA is filed under the name uncultured bacterium. Its description in RNAcentral is "bacterial SSU rRNA". It matches the Rfam family "Bacterial small subunit ribosomal RNA", at positions 28 to 484 of the family's 1533-position model. The record is from RNAcentral.
GAUGAACGCUAGCGGCAGGCUUAACACAUGCAAGUCGAGGGGUAUUGGUUUUCGGACCAAGAGACCGGCGCACGGGUGCGUAACGCGUAUGCAAUCUACCUUUUGCAGAGGGAUAGCCCCAGAGAAAUUUGGAUUAAUACCUCAUAGUAUAGUACUUUGGCAUCAAGGAACUAUUAAAGUCACAACGGCAAAAGAUGAGCAUGCGUCCCAUUAGCUAGUUGGUAAGGUAACGGCUUACCAAGGCUACGAUGGGUAGGGGUCCUGAGAGGGAGAUCCCCCCACACUGGUACUGAGACACGGACCAGACUCCUACGGGAGGCAGCAGUGAGGAAUAUUGGACAAUGGGGCGCAAGCCUGAUCCAGCAAUGCCGCGUGAGUGAUGAAGGCCUUUAGGGUUGUAAAGCUUCUUUGCCCGGGAUGAUAAUGACAGUACCGGGAG